This 478-nucleotide ribosomal RNA is filed under the name uncultured bacterium. Its description in RNAcentral is "partial 16S ribosomal RNA". It matches the Rfam family "Bacterial small subunit ribosomal RNA", at positions 28 to 523 of the family's 1533-position model. The record is from RNAcentral.
GACGAACGCUGGCGGCGUGCUUAACACAUGCAAGUCGAACGGUAAGGCCCUUCGGGGUACACGAGUGGCGAACGGGUGAGUAACACGUGGGUGAUCUGCCCUGCACUUCGGGAUAAGCCUGGGAAACUGGGUCCAAUACCGGAUAGGACUCCGGACUGCAUGGUCUGGGGUGGAAAGCUUUUGCGGUGUGGGAUGGGCCCGCGGCCUAUCAGCUUGUUGGUGGGGUGAUGGCCUACCAAGGCGACGACGGGUAGCCGGCCUGAGAGGGUGACCGGCCACACUGGGACUGGGAUACGGCCCAGACUCCUACGGGAGGCAGCAGUGGGGAAUAUUGCGCAAUGGGCGCAAGCCUGAUGCAGCGACGCCGCGUGAGGGAUGACGGCCUUCGGGUUGUAAACCUCUUUCAGCACAGACGAAGCGCAAGUGACGGUAUGUGCAGAAGAAGGACCGGCCAACUACGUGCCAGCAGCAGCCGCCG